Molecule: ribosomal RNA, 468 nt
Filed under: uncultured bacterium
Lineage: Bacteria
Description: partial 16S ribosomal RNA
Rfam family: Bacterial small subunit ribosomal RNA
Source: RNAcentral
GACGAACGCUGGCGGCGUGCUUAACACAUGCAAGUCGAACGGAAAGGCCCUGCUUUUGUGGGGUGCUCGAGUGGCGAACGGGUGAGUAACACGUGAGUAACCUGCCCUUGACUUUGGGAUAACUUCAGGAAACUGGGGCUAAUACCGGAUAGGAGCUCCUGCUGCAUGGUGGGGGUUGGAAAGUUUCGGCGGUUGGGGAUGGACUCGCGGCUUAUCAGCUUGUUGGUGGGGUAGUGGCUUACCAAGGCUUUGACGGGUAGCCGGCCUGAGAGGGUGACCGGCCACAUUGGGACUGAGAUACGGCCCAGACUCCUACGGGAGGCAGCAGUGGGGAAUAUUGCACAAUGGGCGGAAGCCUGAUGCAGCAACGCCGCGUGCGGGAUGACGGCCUUCGGGUUAUAAGCCGCUUUCGCCUGUGACGAAGCGUGAGUGACGGUAAUGGGUAAAGAAGCACCGGCUAACUACGUG